GAUGAACGCUGGCGGCGUGCCUAAUACAUGCAAGUCGAGCGAACGGACGAGAAGCUUGCUUCUCUGAUGUUAGCGGCGGACGGGUGAGUAACACGUGGAUAACCUACCUAUAAGACUGGGAUAACUUCGGGAAACCGGAGCUAAUACCGGAUAAUAUUUUGAACCGCAUGGUUCAAAAGUGAAAGACGGUCUUGCUGUCACUUAUAGAUGGAUCCGCGCUGCAUUAGCUAGUUGGUAAGGUAACGGCUUACCAAGGCAACGAUGCAUAGCCGACCUGAGAGGGUGAUCGGCCACACUGGAACUGAGACACGGUCCAGACUCCUACGGGAGGCAGCAGUAGGGAAUCUUCCGCUAUGGGCGAAAGCCUGACGGAGCAACGCCGCGUGAGUGAUGAAGGUCUUCGGAUCGUAAAACUCUGUUAUUAGGGAAGAACAUAUGUGUAAGUAACUGUGCACAUCUUGACGUUACCUAAUCAGAAAGCCACGGCUAACUACGUG
Molecule: ribosomal RNA, 497 nt
Filed under: uncultured bacterium
Lineage: Bacteria
Description: partial 16S ribosomal RNA
Rfam family: Bacterial small subunit ribosomal RNA
Source: RNAcentral